AGAUUGAACGCUGGCGGCAGGCCUAACACAUGCAAGUCGAGCGGUAGAGAGGUGCUUGCAUCUCUUGAGAGCGGCGGACGGGUGAGUAAUGCCUAGGAAUCUGCCUAGUGGUGGGGGAUAACGUUCGGAAACGGACGCUAAUACCGCAUACGUCCUACGGGAGAAAGCGGGGGACCUUCGGGCCUCGCGCGGAACGAUGAGCCUGCGUCCUAUCAGGUAGUUGGUGAGGUAAUGGCUCACCAAGCCGACGACGGGUAGCUGGUCUGAGCGGGCGACCGAGACCGACACGUGGGACUGACGACACGGACCCAGACCUCCGUACGGGAGGCAGCAGGUGGGAAUUGUGGACAAGUCGGGGGAAACCUGACUCCGAG
RNAcentral lists this ribosomal RNA (374 nucleotides) under uncultured soil bacterium. RNAcentral's name for it is "bacterial SSU rRNA". It matches the Rfam family "Bacterial small subunit ribosomal RNA", at positions 26 to 393 of the family's 1533-position model. The record is from RNAcentral.